GGAUAGUUGAGAAACAAGAUUCAGAGAGUGGUGGUAUCAAAUAUGUGAUGAUUGAGUUAGAAUUUAAGUCAGCAUAUGGCUAUCUUUCAGGGGAAAGAGGAAUCCAUUGCAUGAAUGGAAGUUCUGAAGGUAAAUUUGAUCUUUCAAAGGAUGGAGCUGCUGCAAUCGAUGUUAUUCCUCUUUUUCUUGAAUCAUCCCCUGACCUCCAAAUUGAUGAAAACGAUCUAGAAAUUACAACAUCGUAUGAAGAGGAACGGGGUAGGACUUCCCCUUCACUCAUUAUUCAUCAUAUACCAACAGGAUUGCAAGUCCAGUCAACAGGUGAAAGAAGUCGUUUUGCCAAUAAGCUCAAGGCUCU
RNAcentral lists this unclassified non-coding RNA (358 nucleotides) under Hevea brasiliensis (rubber tree). Lineage: Eukaryota; Viridiplantae; Streptophyta; Magnoliopsida; Malpighiales; Euphorbiaceae. The record is from RNAcentral.